UACGGAGGGUCCAAGCGUUAUCCGGAAUCUGAUUGGAUUGAAGGUCCGCAGGCGGUCAAUUAAGUCAGAGGUGAAAUCCCGUCGCUCAACGACGGAACUGCCUUUGAUACUGGUUGACUUGAGUUAUAUGGAAGUAGAUAGAAUAAGUAGUGUAGCGGUGAAAUGCAUAGAGAUUACUUAGAAUACCGAUUGCGAAGGCA
This 200-nucleotide ribosomal RNA is filed under the name uncultured bacterium. Its description in RNAcentral is "partial 16S ribosomal RNA". It matches the Rfam family "Bacterial small subunit ribosomal RNA", at positions 524 to 723 of the family's 1533-position model. The record is from RNAcentral.